Long non-coding RNA from Monomorium pharaonis (pharaoh ant), 13935 nucleotides. RefSeq lists it as uncharacterized. The transcript has 2 exons. NCBI's taxonomy places the organism in Eukaryota, Metazoa, Arthropoda, Insecta, Hymenoptera, Formicidae. The record is from RefSeq and is a predicted model, not a curated record.
CUAAGAAACGUUAAAUAACAAUUUAACAACACAAUUUAUAUAUAAAGAAAGAUGUAAAAAAUUUUAUUAAUUACAAUUUGGUGAACACUUAUUGUGUUUUUAAUUUUCUAAUUUUUAUUAGAUUGUAACGUCGAUAUAAAGAUCCCUUAUAUUUUGAUUCAAGCUGUAAACUUGUUGCAGAAAUUGGCUAAAUAAACUCUCUAAGAAUUACAUCGGCAAAGUGCGCAAUAAAUAUUUCUCUACGAAAACACUUGGCUUACUUACCUCCGAAAAUACAUACGAUAACACAAUAAGACGUGGCGAGUAAAUGGCGCUAGGUAGAUAAUUCUUUAUGCGUGAUGAAUGUGCCGACACUCAAAGGCCGGCGAAAGAAAAUAAGGGAGCCCACGUAUAAAGAUGUCCCAGCAUGUAUGCGCCAUAAUGUCGCGGAUAAUCCCGGGAAAACACUUGCAGAUAUAGAGGGCGAGACAGAAAACGCGCAGCUAAAAAUUUUAUUCUCUCUCGUUUAUUUCUCUAGGAAAAAUAACUUGCCGAGCCUGUGGUAAGCGGAUAUAUUCAUCUUGAGAGAAACUCUUUUUAGCGCGCGAAACCGCCUUGCUGGUUUACCCGUUUGCGCAUAUGCCCGUAUGCACAUCAAACAUCGAAUUUCCGAGCGAAACGGAGAAGCAAAAAUACGCAAAAGCGAAAAUGUCAUGUAGAAAAAGUUGAAGGGAAAAUAAGUCACGGGUUAACGCUUGAAACGUUAAAUAUUCAUGGCUCGCCAGGUUUUAAAUUUUUGGCAAAAAUAUAACGCUGCUUUUUUCAGCAAUAGUGGAUAGCAAACUAUAAUAUCUAAAGCUAUUUUAGAUCAAUCAUAUUUGUCGCCUUUAAAAUAAAUCUGAGGUAUAACGAUAUACAAUUAUGUCCGCGAAUUGUACUUGGAAUUUCGACGAAAGUCAAUGUGUCUUGUUAGUCAAUGAAACUUUUUUUAUACAGAAAAAAUGCUGAAGAAAAAAAAGAAAGUACUAAUGUACACGCGCACAUAUAUCGAAGCUUUUAACGGACACCUGUUAUACGUGAACGCGACGAAAGAGUGCUUCUAAUUAAAAUUCUCGGCAUUACUCGGCGAGCCUUCAAGUGCAACAGGAAUCGCUCGUUUAUUCCGAAGUCACGCGUGCGUGCCCGCAUGCACGUACGACCAUCGUGCGAGUCAUUAGCAGCGGUGCGAGAGAAAGAGGAAAUCUCGCGGCAGCAGGAGAAAGCACCGGCGACGGAAAUAUGGAAAUACGUGGAAGAUGCGGUACGUGCGCAAAAAUAGCGUCAUGCAUUUUCUAGUCUACUGCGCGCCGAGGCGUGGUGCGCGGUGUCUGAAGUGAGAUUUUCAUCAAUGCGCGUCGCGCUCGAGUCGCGUUUCAGAAAAGGAAAAGUGGAUGUAGACUCGCUUGGUCGGCGAUUUGCUGGCGAUGAGGGAAAGAAAGAACACCGACGGGGUACGAAAGAAAGGAAAAAAAAGAGAAAAAGAGAAUGCGCGCGAUAAUGCAGGUAAAUACGCUCAAACAACGCGUUAAAAAAAAAUGCGAUCUUUCGGUUGACUGACAAAUGAAAGAAAAUGAAAAAUCAAACCAAGUAAAGAUUCGUGAAAAUGAUGAAAGGUAUAUUCUCGUGAAGGGUGGAAAAAUGCAUGUGGCUUUGCAUAUUUGUAUUAGAUAGUGACAGGGCUAUGCAUGCCACAUUGCCAUAAAAGCGACACAGCGAAAUAAAUUUAGAGAGUACACAUUUCUGUGGCUUUCCUGCCUUUUUCCUUAUUCAGGCGCUUUGCGUACGAAAAUUUUUAUUAAUGUACAUUGUCAUUACUUUCUCAUGGCAGCCUUGUAGAUGGAGAGGAAAGAGAAAAUAAAAAUGUACGAUAUUUUUUAAAGCUGUUUUAGAAUGUCACAGCAGCAUAUCUAUUUGUAUGCAUUUGCUCCUGUAAGGGAGGGAAAGAAAGAGAGACGAGAGAAACUGAUCUCACACUCGUAACGAAUUAUUAAUCACUGUAUAUCAUGUCAAAUUGUUUUCUUUAUUCGCGCUGGCAGACAUGCAUCACGAAUCCACGAGAAAAGAGGAAAAUCUCUUUCUAAUACAACUUUGAAAACACGUUUGUAUUAUUUAAAUAGCAGUUGUUCAAAUAGUAUCGCUGCUCUUCGAGAAAAAUAGCAAGUAAAUGAAAAUAUCCGUGCCAUCUAAAAUGCCAUUAAUUUUUUUGCUAAUAGUGAUAAAUUAAAUAAUACUUUAUUCCUGUUUUGUAACGCGACUACUGGACGAUAAAGCAUUUAAUACUGAGCGCAACCUGAUCGUAAUUAUUAUUAUGCAUUAGCGGUCAAAUGUAACAAUUUAUAUAUCGAUCGAUAAAAAUGCUAUAGCGAGAACGCAUUCAAUAAUGCGUGAUAAUAAUAAGUACGUGCGCAUCCUAGUUCUGUUUAUAGUCAUAUACGCAUGUCUCUAUCCACAUUCUUCACCAAAAUCCAUGAAAUUGUUUCCAUACCUUGCACAUAGGCAUGCGUAAUCGUCAACGUGAAACGCGUGGUAUGUGGAUGCGGUAGAAGCUCGGAAUUACGAAAGGGUGUGCAUCUUUGCUGUUUAUUGGUUUUUCCAAUUAGUGACAAGAACCUUUGAUUUUGGGUAAAUUAUUAACAUCUCUUCUAUUUCAUGCCUUCUGUUCCAUCAAAUUAUUUAAGUGAAUAAAGUUUUAACAAAUAUGAAACUAGCCGCGCGUUUCAUAUUUUUGUUGAUAUAAAAUAAAUUUGAUAGUUUUUAAGAUUUGUUGGUAAUGAGAAGGAUUAAAUUUGUGAAACAUAAUAAUAGUUAGAUUACAAAAAAAUGUCGCAUUUUUUUCUACGUAGUAAUUUACUUCUGGUCUGUAUACCGAAAGUAAUUUAUAUUUAACAUCUUAAUAUUGCCGUGAUAUAUGGGAGAGACUCAAGCCACGUGAGAUCGUAUUUCGGAAUUGUGGUAGAAAAAAAGUUACGUCAGACACUUUGUUACGACUGUUUUAAUCGAAUACGCCCCUCUUUCAUGACGUAAUUUUAUUCGCGCUACGACUCAACGACUCUAUAGAAGGUGUCGCGGUUUUUUUUUUCAAAACAAGUACGAAACAUAUAAAGAGUAUAAAAACGUAAGAAAAGGCGGGAGAGAGAAAGAAUAAGUAAUGGCUGCGCGAUAAUCAGUAGCGCGAGGAACGUGUACGCGCUCCUGAGCUGGUAGACAUGCAACUACCUGCCACAAUAAAAAGGAUUUUUCGUGCGUGCAGACCGCCGUCCACUAGGCGAAGAGGAAGUAUUAUUCAGGUCUACGUGAAGGCAGUUUAAAAGAGACACGCGAUAAAAGUGCUUGGUUUCUUUGUAUUGGUGAUUACAAUAGGGGGGGUGUUUUUAUCACUACAAUGAAAGUUUUGUUUCUGACGAGUGUUCAUCAUUCGAGGAUUGUAAUUUGUAAAAGUGCGAUUAUUAUCGCCACAAUAAGAAUUAAUUAAAGUAAUUAUAAUUUGAUAGGAAAAAUAUCUUACUUAUUAACGUUUUACUCUACUUUAUAAAGAUUAAUUAGAGAUUAUAUUAUUGUUUCUUUUUUUUAAGGAUUAAUGGAAACUAUCUUACUAAUUUAUACAAAAUAAUUUUCUUUUGCAUGUGUUUGGUGUAACGCAUUUGCAAUCAAAAAUUUUAUUGGAGCUUAACAGAAUUAAUAAGUCGACUUUUUUUCUAAUGAGGUGAAAUCAAUGGGGUAAAAUAUUUCUCACCCUGGAAUAAUACAGGCAAGAAUUGUCUCUUGAUAGCUUAAUCGCGUGGAAUCGGCAUACCGCUUUAAAGAGCUUUUCCCGCUUUGAAAUUGAAAUCGCGCCAAGCGCAUUUAGGUGGCUUCCCUGGAAUCGUUACGCCGGCAUCCAUAUUUAGGUAUCGGAAAUUCUAUAAAAGGCGACGCGAGAAGUUAAUUCGGGUCUACCUCACAGCCGAUAUUUAACAGUACAAAAAGCAAACUUGUGUACGGUGAAUCUCGAAAUAUCAGUUUAUUAUAUGGAUCAAUUCUUGUUUUACAAUAUAGUUUAAAGAACAUAUUACUUCGAUUUAAAGUGAAAAUUUUAUUUAUUAAAAUCCAAAAUAUUAACAAUAAUUAUUAAAUGUAGAAUUAAAAAUUUUAUAUCAUUAUUAUGUAUUUAAUUAUUUACUUUAGAAAUUUAAUUCAAUUUCAAAAGAUAAUUAAUGUUGUAUGAUAUUUUACGAUGUUUGAUAAUGUUCGAUAUUCUACGAUAAUUUACGGAUAAUAUCAAUUUGCGAAUUAUAUGUAUUAAAAAAGAAAUAUUUUUAUUAAUAUUAUUUAUUAAUAUUAUUAAUAUUAUAUAUAUUUUUAAUAUUAUUUAUUAAUAUUUCUUGUUUUAUGAUAAUUAAUAUAUUAUGAUUACUUACUGUAAUAUUUAGAUUAUUACUGAAACGACGUUAGUCGUUUAACAACUAAUAAAAUUCGAUUUCUCCGCAUUAUUAACGAUAAUCGAGCAAAGCACAACAAAAAUAAAAAAGCAGGAUCAGCGACGCUUAUGUCCAAAAUUUGUUUAGUUAUUCUUAUUUAUGUGAUUUUUUACACAUAAAAACACACAUAUACGCAUAUACACACACAAAGGCAUUAGCAAUAACAAGAGCUCCUUCGGUUAUUCUUAAUAUUUUUUCUCUCUCUUUUACAUCUAAAAUCAUGAAUAAUUUUUCUUAUCCUUGAUGAUAUAUCUUUUUACUCAGAGAACGAUGAUUGCUUUUAAAUCAUAACAUCAAAAUUGGAUUAAGUUUGCAAGAAGAAUCUGAUCUUCAACAUCGAUAAAACGUUUUCCGGCCGUCUGUAUUUUUUUUCUUAUAGUUAAAAAAAUAUAGAUGUAAAAUGUUAUGGUUUAACACCAUUUGGUGUUUAUAUAAUUCUCAUUUAUUAUUUUUGAGACUGUAUUUAUAUUUUUCUAUGAAUUUGCCGAUGUUUCUUCAAUAAAAUAUUUAUAUAAUUUCUUUGAGUAAAUGUUAAUCCGCACGCUGCACACAAAUCGUCUUUUUCUUUUGCAAAUCGCGGGGAGAGUUCUUUCCUUAAUAACAAGUUUCGUUCACCAAGCUAACCGAUUAUUCCCACGAAUGACAAAUUAUGUCACUUAUCUAUCUCAUUAUUCAGAGGCGCUAUUAUCCCAAGUACAAAGUUUUAGUGACUUUGUAAGAGGUACUUAUAUCGCGGUCUGGUCGACGUCUGCCUUUUUGCAAAAAGCCACCAAGCCUUUUCAGCGGUAUAUUGUCGACUCUUAAACGAUCUCAUCCGACGUGAACAAUCGCCGGAUAGUUCGGAGGUACAAUUAUCUCUGCAAAAAUGUAACGAAAAUUAUUGCAUCGGUGCGCUCGUUAAGAGUAUCCUCAAGGAGCAUCGUCGUUCUCUUUGCUUUUCUGAAAACUGCAAUCUCUAUUUAUCUGGUUCUUAAAUUCUAGGUUAUUUUCGUCUCUGGUUUUAAGACGCUCAGUUUCUUAAAUGGUAAAUUUUUUAAAGCUUGCUUGGCUCUUACAGAAAAGACUUUUUAAAUUUUUAGACAUAAAUUACUUGAGUACUUUUUCUUAGAUAUCUUAAAUUUCAAUUUUUAUUUAGAUUUUAGAUAUCUCUUCAAAAAUAAAUGCUUUUGAAUCGUACUUUUCUUAUAAACGAAGUUUUCUUAUAAAACUUAAUAAACGGGGUUUUUUAAAUUGGUAUUGGUAACUUGAAAAUGUCAUUAAAUGGUUAUGUUAAUUAUCAAUGGUUUUAUAUCUUUCCUUGGCUUUAUGUAUAUUGAAAUUUUACCAUUUUUAUUAUACGCUAUGUUUAUAUUUUUUAAAUUUACAUUUAGAACUUCAAAUUUUUUUUUAAGCGAGCUUACAUAUAAAUAGUCAAAUCUAAAUUGCAGGAUUAAUCCUUUGUGUUACGAAUUUUUAUAUUAGAUCGAUUUUUUAAAACUUUGUAUCCAGUGAUUUUUCGGGACGAUGAUUAUAAAGCAGAAGUCAGAAUUUUAAAAUUAAAAAUGAUCCGAUCCAACAUAACAGUCCAAAUAAUACAAAACUUUUUUAAAUUUUCUUGAAAAUGGAUCAGUACAUGUUUUUUUAAUUGCUGACUCUGAAUCUAAGGCUAAAGUUUUGAAUUUCGAAAAUUCAAGAUUGCAAAAUUAAUAUGGACAAAACAAAAACUUUAUUAAUUUAGAAUUUGUUUUCUAGAUUAAUUUUUAGUUGCUGAACAAUUUAACCUAUUUUUUUAUUUUUUUGCAUUUAAGUUUUGUUGAACUUUUAAUAUUAAAAAAUGUUGAUCUCAGAUUUGUAUACAGCGACCAAGAAACUUAGAAAACAAGUUAAAAUAAUAAAAUUUUCUAAGUUUUUGUAUUGCUUUUUUUAGUCAUCUUGAGUUCGAAAAAUUUGAAAAUUCAGACUUUAGAUUAGGAUUCAAUAACAUAAAAAAUUCCAGAAUAAGAGAUUUAUUUGAAUGUACAGUAGAAAAUGUUAUGCAUUGCAUAUUUUCACAUUUAUCUUUGCACCGAGUAUCUAAUUUUUUGCUUACAUAAAAAGAUAUGGCAUAUGACAUUAUGAGGUACAUAGUAAACAAAGUAUUUCAUUAUAUGAUAGUAUCUUUAUUGCCCAAUGAUCAUUAAAGUAAUAUAUAUACUUGUGAUGCGAGAUACUACCAUACGUGUCUCUUGAUAAUGUUUUCAGAUCUUGUAAGCUCGUUGUAAAUUUACUUAACUCUCCAUUUGUAACUAUCACAGUUGUAAUAUUCUUGCAUACAAAAAGUAAUUCUUCAACCAUUAUUAAUGUUUCAUUGAGACAGCAUAAUUUUUUUUUUCAAAAUCUACGUGUCUUUCUGUACAUAUGUAAUAAAUUUUUAAAACAAGUAUUGAUUUCUUUAAUCGGACACAGUUGUAAGCAUCCAAUCAUUCAGUCAUGUAAUCGUUGAUGCGAAAUAAUUUCAGCGAUCGAACUGCAUCUCGAUCGUGCGCGCACCCAGAAAGAAUUGAGUUUGCCGAGUAUAAGAGGCAUUUCCCGCAAGAUUAUGAAAGCUUCCGUGUUAUCGAGGAUGUUGCCAGUUUUAUCGUGGCGAAAAAGUGAAAAACUAAAUCUAAGCGCACGAUGCACUCUUCCAGCUCGCAGAUUUUUUCCUAUGCGGUGCAUUUGACCCGCCGCACAGUGGGCCAGAAUUGACUUUUUUCGUUCAAAAUGGUCUAGAGACCUCAAUAUUUAACCAAAUAGAACAAAUUUUUUUUUUAAUUACUCGUAAAAAGGUACCAAAAAAGACUGUCUGAGCCGAUUUUUAACCAAUUUCAUCCCUCAGGGCAUACAACCCCAUAUUCUCAUUGAAUAAUACAAAAUACCAUUACGUGAUAAUGACAACACAUAAAACGGUAACUUUUACCUGCAAAACCUCACGUAUGGACUCAGUGACAUCAAAACAAUACAAACUUACAUUACAACAAUGACUGCAUGACUUCAUGACUUUAUGUAAUCGAAAUAAAAAAUAUAAUAAAUUAUACUUAUAACUUAGUACGACUUGAAUCAGCUACACUUAGGAUGAAAAAUGUACCUAGAAUGUGCUACGAGGAGGCUUCGAGUUUACAUUCCAUGGGGUUUUGUUUUUUUUUCUUUUUGCAAAUUUAAUUUUUUUAUUUUUGUAAAUUUUUUUGUUUUUGAAUUAAUACUGAAUUUUGAAUUAAUACAAGUCCAGUAGAUCCUGUGCUUUCGGAUCAAUAUUUUUAGGCUUUUUGUGCCAUUGAAUUCUUAAACUUGCUAUAUAAGGAUCCGAGGAAACAAAUAACUUUUUUAUGAGGUCUUCAGAGAUCAAGAUACAUACAUGAAGAUACAUAUGGAGAGUAAACAUUAAGCAAUCUUUAUUAUUCUAUUACAAGUUAAAAAUGCAAAGUUAUCUUAAUUUGAAAACUGAUGUACAAAUCAAAACAAAAAAUUAAAAUACAAAAAACAUAAAAAAUUAAUUAAAGAUUUUUGAAUCAAAAUUAAUUUAAAAAAUUUUUUUAAUUACAAAAAUGUAAAAAAUUAAAAUUACAAACAAACCAAAAACCAUGGAAUGUAAACUGGAAGCCUUCUCGUGGUACAUUCUGGGUACACUUUUCAUCUCAAGUGUAGCUGAUUCGAGUCGUACUAAGCUACAAGUAUAAUUUAUUAUACUUUUUAUUUUGAUUACAUAAAAUCAUGAAGUCAUGCAGUCAUUGCUGUAAUGUGAGUUUGUAUUGUUUCGAUGUCACUGAGCUCAUACGUGAGGUUUUGCAGGUAAAAGUUACCGCUUUAUGUGUUGCCAUUAUCAAUGAGAAUAUAAGGUUGUAUGCCCUGAGGGAUGAAAUUAAUUGAAAAUCGGCUCAGACAGUCUUCUUUGGUACCUUUUCACGAGUAAUUUAAAAAAAAAUUUGUUUUAUUUGGUUAAAUAUUGAGGUCUCUAGACCAUUUUGAACGAAAAAAGCCAAUUCUAGCCCACUGUGCGCCGUGUGGAUAAACUGGGCUACCCUAUCUUUUCUUCUACGGCGACACACGUGCAUACAACGCGCGUGUGUAAUUUAUGCGAAGCUGUCAAACCCGGAAAUGACGUCUUAUACUCCCGGUCCCCGUCCUACAUUGUCAAGCGAACAAGAGAGAGCAGAAUGUUGCGCGAGAAAAGACGGCAGGAUAGCUAGAAGUGUAUAGCUCUCGCGCUUGGAGAACAUUCGCCCCGGUGAAUGAGAAACGUGUCCUCCGCCUCGUUUGGUUUAAACAACUCACCGAACAAGGGCCUUGCCAUGAAGGCUCUGCUAUCAGUGUUAGGCGAUCUGAAAGCAAGAUAAAUUUAGCUGGAAAAAUCAUACUUCCCUCUCUUUCUGCCCUCGCUUUUCUUAAUAUCAUUCCAUCUUUUGUCUAUAAAAUUCUUCUAAUAUCUUUGUCAUUACAUGAUUAACUUGAUUAUAUUUUUCUAAAACAAUGUUUUUUUUUUUGGAAACCGCGCGUUAUAUUUUUACAAAUAUUAAUCCCAAGUUCUAAAAAAAUGUCAGCUUACUCUACAUUCAAAAGACGUAACGUAUUGACACACCUCCCUCCUUCUCCUCCGGUAAUCUCUGGAAAUCGCAAUUUACGCUUUCCUAAAGCCGUGUGGCGAACGUUGGUAGUGUCAGAGAGUCUACAACCCUGCAGCGACAUAUUACAGUUUCUAAUAUAGCCACGGUUUUGGCUUUAGCCGUGUCCCACAUCAACGAACUAAUUCCGUUUCAACAGUACUGACUGUUGGAAGUCAAGGCAUUUCGAGUAUUAAAACGAGAUGUAUGUACAAACGGUGUACGAUCAAUAUACGACUAUAAAAGCGGGAUAUCCUUAAUAAUUCCGGGGAUGUCUCAUGUGUCUUUGCGACUUCAAAUUCUUUGCGAAACUUGAACAAUUUGAGUUGUGCGGCGAGAGCCUUCCGCUGCGUGAAAUUUAUUUAACGAGGCAGUUUAUGAAAUGCCAAUUACAGUGAAGUCCUUUCCGUUGCUCGCGACCUGAGAAACUGCUUGGCAAUUUUACAGAGUGAGAGAGAGAGAGAGAGAGAGAGAUCGACUUUAAAUCGUUGAAAAAAAAAACUCAUACGCAAAAGGAAAGACGACAGUCCCUGACAUCAUAUAGAUCGCCGUAUAUCCAACGUGUCGGCAAUCGUCGACGAGGUACGUGCGCGGACACGAACGCGGCGCGAUUGCACAUAAAAGCGAGAUUCGCGCGCGAGAUGCGUCCCCACGGGCGAGAAUAUUUUUCGAGUCCUUCGUGAGCGUUGGGAUAUCGGGCUACCCCGCUCUCGCUCCUCUCCCUCGCCCCCUCAGGGCGAACCGCGUAUGUACUGGCGAGAUAAGCUCUCUUCUUGCUUUUCGCGCUGGCCUUACCGGCCGACUACCCCUACGACGAAACGACGACGAUGAUAGCACGAGGUUCGUAAUGCAAUAAUAUUGGAGAUCGCGGGGUGUUCACUCUCUCUCUCUUUCUCUCUCUCUCUUUCAUGUUUUUCGUUGGCACAUACGCACGUACACGCGCGGGAUACGCGUGUUGGAUGACCGGGUGGUUUGCACCUGUGAUAUGCAAACGAGGCAAAUCCAUUCCCACUCGCCCUCUUCUUUUCUCGGUCAGGUGAUAUUGGAGGGCGACGAAACUGAUAUGAUGUCGCGGAUCUUAAAUUAAAUCUUUUCCCAUUCGUAGAGAUAUUUCUUUUCUUCGGAUGGGUAUUAAAAUAAUAAAUCGUGAGAUAUCACACUUACUAUAUUUAACAAGAUUUGAUAUGUUCUAGUCAAUUAAUUGACUUAUAAAUUUAUAUUUAAAAAAUACUCUUGUAUCAAUUUAAUUGCACAAAUACGAAUGUGCAAACGUGUGACAUUGUGAUAUGACAAAAUUGCGUAUAAAAAGAAAUCAUGAAAUAAGAUAAAGCGAAAUAUGCACGAAAAUAGAAUAAUUAAAACCGCAUGUAUUUCAACUACAAUUGACAACUACGCGAAAUCACUUUUCGUUCAAAAUUCUGUUCUACAGUGUAUUUUGAUUUAAAUAUUCAGAUGAUGAUAUACCUAAUAAUGAUAUAUCUAUAAAUAAAAUUUUACAGAAGAUAUCGCUUUUAGAGCUUCGUCUGCGGCGAAACCUCUCUUUCUAUGAGAUGGAAUUAAUAGCGGGACAACUAUGUAUGUUUCUGGCAAGUGCGCUAAGAGGGAAUUAAUUGCACCAUAUAUAGAUUGCCAGGUAGAAUUAUCUGAGACUGUCGUAUAUCUUGAUUACACGCAUAGCCGUCGGCGAUAUAUUUUCCAUUGCGGUGUCCGUAAUUACUAUACGCGAGCAAUGUAUUUUACGUUAAGCGUGCGCGUAUUACGAAUUUCCGACUGAUUAAUUUGCGGUUAUACGCGCAAAUUUUUGUGCAAAACUCUAACGCAAGUUACAUACUAAAAAUUAUCUAAGUUUCCUCCAAUCAGCCACUGUGCAAUCAGAUAUAUUUUAGAAUUAAAUUAACUUUUUUUUCCCACUUUAUUUUAAUUUAUUAUGAUUUGCUGAUUGCUUAUGACGCGCAUAAAAAGAACUUUUACAUUUACAUUAUAAAUGUGUGUAUUAUAGAACAACGUAAACAAAAUUGUUAAUAAAUUAAUUUUAAUAUAAAUUUAAACUUUUUAAAUGCAGCAAUACUGUUACUAAAUUUUAAAAAUUAUGAUAUUUUGUUUUAACACAUUAAAAAAAGAUUAUGCAUAAAAGCGUGGAUUUGGUCGGCGAAUAAAUGUGUCACGUAGACACAGUAAGCAUCGCGUGAUCGUGGCGACAAUAUGGAAGCGACUGUCGUAAGAUUACAAGAAAUAUUGCAGCACGAGAUACAAAAUGUGCCGUUGAUCGUAUUUGUCGCGGUAUUUACAUUCGUCGACAACGAUGUCGUUGAACUGCGCGACUGUCACGCAUUUAUGCGGCCGCCUUCAUGCGUGGUACCGUACGAAUACAAUAUAUUGUCGCUGCUUGACACCUCUGUCGAUUGGAAACGAUACGAAUAUAUGCCCUACGUGUUUGUUGGUCGCUUAUCAGAGAGGGUGGUGGAACACGGCGCGAGGUACAAUCGUUGCCUCGCUAUGCUAAGCUUUGACCACACGUACCUGAUACAAUCUACUGUGUUGUAUACGAGUUCAGCCAGACAGCUAUUGACCUUUCAAUAAAUAGAUAAGUUGAUAAUAUAUCCAUUCCGCUCCGAAAAUUUCUCUAACGUCUCUCUAGAAAUCGAUAUUAUUUAAUGAUUAAUGACUUUCUGCCAAUUUAUUUAUUUAUUGAAUUUAAUUAUUACGCUUCUGCAUGUAACUACUAUUUUAUUGAGAUUUCUGAAACGUAAUUCUCGAUCAAUUAUUUUUUUUCCUAUAGAAAAUUCGAUAACUUUCGCAAAAUAUAGAAGACGAGUAAACUCUAUUGACGUAACAGACAAUAUUGCAGUGAUGUUAUCAGACAUAUCAAUAUUUUCUCGCAAGUUUCUUAUUGAAUAAUACAUUUGGUGAAGGGAAAGGAUUCUCUUCACAUUUCCAUAAAGCAUGUUGUUUAUCGGUGCGGUCAAUAAGGAAUGCAUUCCUAAGAGUUUUCACUUUCUUCCUCGGGGACAGACUACAAAUGCGAGUGUUAGAUACUAAUGCAUUUUCGGUACCAUGUAACUGUUAUAAAAAGAGGAGAUUAAUUCAGAUAUCUUACGACUCUGAAUUCAAAUAUCAUUUAACGAUGAGUGUCAGAACAACGCGUUAUUGAGAAAAUGAUCAUCACUGUCGGACAAUACCGAUUCCAAAUCGCGUUUUAUGGAUACUCACGGAUAUGACAACGCCGCAGCUUUAUUACCUUAAUCAUGAGAUAUGGACGCUUUCGUAAUACAAUCUUUGCGGCUAUAGCAAAUUAUGGGAAGCUUCGGUGAUUUUGUUGGAUUUAUUGUUGGAGAUUACGUUCUAUUAUAAGCGAUAGAAGUUGUAACUUCUAUCGCUUAUAAUAGAACUUUCAACUAAAGAUAUAAUAAAACGGACAUAAUGUUUGAUAGAAAAAGAAUUUCUUACUAUACUUUUUUUAAGUAUAUAAAAAUUACAUGACUUAUAAUAAAAUUUUAUAUAAAAUAUAUAAAUUUUUUAAAUAUUUUUAUCUCUAAUUGUGCAAAUAUAUUUUUAUACCAGAGAGAGAAAUAUAUUUGUGCACAAACUAGUAGGGAUAAAAACACUAAAGAAUGUUCUUUCAAACUAGUAGAGAUAAAAACACUAAAGAAUAUAUCUUUAUUAUAAAUUGUGUAAUUUUCUAAAUAUUAUUUAUGUAAUUUUAUAUAAUUUUGUACGGAGUAGGGCAAAUGGUCCAACUAUUGAUAAUGUAAUGUAUCUAAAAUAUUGAUCUUAAAUGAUUUUCAAAUAUGUAAUUCAAAAAAUACAAGUAGUGUCUCGCAUUAUAUUACACAAUUGUAUUAUAUUACAGAAUUUACUUAUAUUACAGAAUUGUACUAAUUUUUAUUUGAAAAUUCUUAAGGAGCCUAUUUAUUAUAUUAUUUUAUUAAAAGUAAAACUUUCAAAUCUUUUAAUUGUAUGUAUCUAUUUAAACUGUGAAAAUCUCGAUUCUAGUCUGAACAAUGUUCAUUCUUAUUAAAAAAUGUGAGAAAAGGGACAGUUACGCAAAAAAUGAGUAAUUUUAAGUUAAAAUUAACAGAAAGUAUUAUUGGAACUUUUUUUAUAUUUAAUAAUAUUAACUUGAAAAUAAAUAAAAGAAGAAAAAUAUCAAAUAAAUUAUUUGUAAGUACAAUAUAAUUACUGAUGUUAGUAAUAUAAGGUAGUUUAUUAUUUUUGAUAUUGUUUGUUAUUUGAUAUUAGUGUUUCUAAUAAAUAAUAUGCCAAGACAACAUAAAAUGGUGUAUAAGGUUCCAACAAAAUUGGGUUAUAAGAUCUCUUAAAGAAUCUUUUAGAUGUCUUAUGACCCAAUUUUGAGCUUUAUAUUGUUUGGAUCAUGGAUAUAAAUUUAAAAGUUAUUGAACUUAAUUUUCUUCGUUAAAUUGGCACUUAUAAGGAAGUAAAAUCUUUAAUAAACUAAAGCAUUAUCAGCCAAAUACACAAUCAAAAUUAUAAAACUUAUUAAUGUGUCAGUCAUUGGGCUGUUUAUUCUAGUGUAAAUAAUUUUAUAUUAAAAUAUAUGUAUUAUUUGAUUUAUGUGCAUGUUUAUUUAAAUAUAUAGAGCCACAGUACAUACAUUAUUGUUUAUAAGUUUGGAAACAUUUGACAUUUUUUUGCAUCUCAUGAAAAGUUAAGUAUAAAAGUCUUUGAAAAAUGUUGAAAAAAUUUAUGCAAAUCCAGUACUUUAUAACAAACAUUUUUUGCUUUAUUAUUUUUUUGUUGUAUAAUAAACUCUUUAGUUAAGAAAACGUUUUAUAAGAGAUGAGAUUUUACUAAAGAAGUUUAAUAUUAUUGCGAGAAAUUAUUGUACCAAUUUAAAAAAAAAAGAA